RNAcentral lists this ribosomal RNA (401 nucleotides) under Camelus dromedarius (Arabian camel). RNAcentral describes it as "partial small subunit ribosomal RNA". It matches the Rfam family "Bacterial small subunit ribosomal RNA", at positions 809 to 1398 of the family's 1533-position model. Lineage: Eukaryota; Metazoa; Chordata; Mammalia; Artiodactyla; Camelidae. The record is from RNAcentral.
AUAGUGAUUAUAACAACAAAAUCACUCGCCAGAGUACUACUAGCAACAGCUUAAAACUCAAAGGACUUGGCGGUGCUUCAUACCCCCUAGAGGAGCCUGUUCUAUAAUCGAUAAACCCCGAUCAACCUCACCAACCCUUGCUAAUUCAGUCUAUAUACCGCCAUCUCCAGCAAACCCCUAUAGGGAUCAAUAGUAAGCUUAACUAUUCAAACAUAAAAACGUUAGGUCAAGGUGUAACCGAUGGGAUGGGAAGAAAUGGGCUACAUUUUCUUGUCCUAAGAAAAUCUCAAAAUACUUACGAAAGCCCCCAUGAAACUGAGGGCCCAAGGAGGAUUUAGUAGUAAAUCAAGAACAGAGUGCUUGGUUGAACUAGGCCAUGGAGCACGCACACACCGCCCGCC